GUUCCCUGGUCCAGGCAGCGCUGACUCAGCCGCCCUCCGUGUCAGCGAACCUGGGACAAACCGUCCAGAUCACCUGCUCCGGGGUUAGCAGCAGCUAUAAUGUUGGCUGGUACCAGCAGAAGACAUCUGGCAGUGCCCCUGUCACUGUGAUCUACCAGAACAGCCAGAGACCCUCGGGCAUCCCUUCGCGAUUUUCUGGUUCUGCAUCCGGCUCCACGGGCACUUUAACCAUCAGUGGGGUCCAAGCCGAGGACGAGGCCGUCUACUACUGUGGUAGCGAAGACGGCAGCAGUGGGUUUUCCCCUUUCCCUGCUGGCACCCUUCCCAAUGUGGUCUGUGUCUCAGGGCUGUGA
Molecule: non-coding RNA, 353 nt
Organism: Phaethon lepturus (White-tailed tropicbird)
Lineage: Eukaryota; Metazoa; Chordata; Aves; Phaethontiformes; Phaethontidae
Source: the annotation of a RefSeq genome assembly